GGACUACCCGGGUAUCUAAUCCCGUUUGCUCCCCUGGCUUUCGCGCCUCAGCGUCAGCAGAGGUCCAGCGCGUCGCUUUCGCCACCGGCGUUCCUUCCGAUAUCUACGCAUUUCACCGCUCCACCGGAAGUUCCACACGCCCCUACCUCCCUCAAGACCACCAGUAUCCGCGGCACUUCCCCGGUUGAGCCGGGGGCUUUCACCACGGACUUGAUGACCCGCCUACGCGCCCUUUAAGCCCAGUGAUUCCGAACAACGUUCGCACGGUUCGUCUUACCGCGGCUGCUGGCAC
RNAcentral lists this ribosomal RNA (292 nucleotides) under uncultured bacterium. RNAcentral's name for it is "partial 16S ribosomal RNA". The record is from RNAcentral. RNAcentral also lists the same sequence under 2 other names.